AUUGAACGCUGGCGGCAUGCCUUACACAUGCAAGUCGAACGCGAAAGGGGGGCAACUCCUGAGUAGAGUGGCGCACGGGUGAGUAAUGCAUCGGAACGUGUCCUGUAGCGGGGGAUAACCUAGCGAAAGCUAGGCUAAUACCGCAUACGUCCUACGGGAGAAAGUGGGGGAUCGUAAGACCUCACACUAUAGGAGCGGCCGAUGCCGGAUUAGCUAGUUGGUGGGGUAAAAGCCUACCAAGGCGACGAUCCGUAGCUGGUCUGAGAGGAUGAUCAGCACAACUGGGACUGAGACACGGCCCAGACUCCUACGGGAGGCAGCAGUGGGGAAUUUUGGACAAUGGGGGAAACCCUGAUCCAGCCAUGCCGCGUGAGUGAAGAAGGCCUUCGGGUUGUAAAGCUCUUUCGGCCGGGACGAAAUCGCACGCGUGAAUAUCGCGUGUGGAUGACGGUACCGGAAGGAGAAGGACCGGCUAACUACGUGCCAGCAGCCGCCGUAA
This 499-nucleotide ribosomal RNA is filed under the name uncultured bacterium. RNAcentral's name for it is "partial 16S ribosomal RNA". It matches the Rfam family "Bacterial small subunit ribosomal RNA", at positions 29 to 523 of the family's 1533-position model. The record is from RNAcentral.